Molecule: ribosomal RNA, 490 nt
Filed under: uncultured bacterium
Lineage: Bacteria
Description: partial 16S ribosomal RNA
Rfam family: Bacterial small subunit ribosomal RNA
Source: RNAcentral
AUUGAACGCUGGCGGCAUGCUUUACACAUGCAAGUCGAACGGCAGCACGAAAGAGCUUGCUCUUUUGGUGGCGAGUGGCGAACGGGUGAGUAAUGCAUCGGAACGUACCGAGUAAUGGGGGAUAACUGUCCGAAAGGAUAGCUAAUACCGCAUACGCUUUGAGAAGGAAAGUGGGGGCUCUUCGGACCUCACGUUAUUCGAGCGGCCGAUGUCUGAUUAGCUAGUUGGUGGGGUAAAGGCCUACCAAGGCGACGAUCAGUAGCGGGUCUGAGAGGAUGAUUCGCCACACUGGGACUGAGACACGGCCCAGACUCCUACGGGAGGCAGCAGUGGGGAAUUUUGGACAAUGGGCGCAAGCCUGAUCCAGCCAUGCCGCGUGUCUGAAGAAGGCCUUCGGGUUGUAAAGGACUUUUGUUAGGGAAGAAAAGGAUAGUGUUAAUACCAUUAUCUGCUGACGGUACCUAAAGAAUAAGCACCGGCUAACUACGUG